UAGGUGAACCUGCGGAAGGAUCAUUAUUGAAAUAAACCUGAUAAGUUGCUGCUGGUUCUCUAGGGAGCAUGUGCACACUUGUCAUCUUUGUAUCUUCACCUGUGCACCUUUUGUAGACCUGACUAUCUCUCUGAAUGCUUUAUAGCACUCAGGAUUGAGAAUUGACUUCUUGUCUCUUCUUAUUUUUUCAGGUCUAUGUUUCUUCAUAUACCCUAAUGUAUGUUUAUAGAAUGUAAUUAAUGGGCCUUUGUGCCUAUAAAUUUUUUACAACUUUCAGCAACGGAUCUCUUGGCUCUCGCAUCGAUGAAGAACGCAGCGAAAUGCGAUAAGUAAUGUGAAUUGCAGAAUUCAGUGAAUCAUCGAAUCUUUGAACGCACCUUGCGCUCCUUGGUAUUCCGAGGAGCAUGCCUGUUUGAGUGUCAUUAAUAUUAUCAACCUCUUGGGUUGGAUGUGGGUUUGCUGGCCUCUUCAGGUCAGCUUCCCUUAAAUGCAUUAGCGGACAACAUUUUGCCAACUGUUCAUUGGUGUGAUAAUUAUCUACGCUAUUGAUGGUGAAGCAAGGUUCAGCUUCUAACAGUCCAUUGACUUGGACAAGCUUAUUUUAUUAAUGUGACCUCAAAUCAGGUAGGACUACCCGCUGAACUUAAGCAUAUCAAUAAGCGGAGGAAAAGAAACUAACAAGGAUUCCCCUAGUAACUGCGAGUGAAGCGGGAAAAGCUCAAAUUUAAAAUCUGGCAGUCUUUGGCUGUCCGAGUUGUAAUCUAGAGAAGCAUUAUCCGCGCUGGACCGUGUACAAGUCUCCUGGAAUGGAGCGUCAUAGAGGGUGAGAAUCCCGUCUUUGACACGGACUGCCAGGGCUUUGUGAUGUGCUCUCAAAGAGUCGAGUUGUUUGGGAAYGCAGCUCAAAAUGGGUGGUAAAUUCCAUCUAAAGCUAAAUAUUGGCGAGAGACCGAUAGCGAACAAGUACCGUGAGGGAAAGAUGAAAAGAACUUUGGAAAGAGAGUUAAACAGUACGUGAAAUUGCUGAAAGGGAAACGCUUGAAGUCAGUCGCGUUGUCCAGGGAUCAAUCUUGCUUUUGCUUGGUGUACUUUCUGGUUAACGGGUCAGCAUCAAUUUUGACUAUUGGAAAAAGAUCAAGGGAAUGUGGCAUCUUUGGAUGUGUUAUAGCCCUUGGUUGCAUACAAUGGUUAGGAUUGAGGAACUCAGCAC
This 1210-nucleotide ribosomal RNA is filed under the name Calonarius callochrous. Its description in RNAcentral is "eukaryotic LSU rRNA". The stretch from base 611 to 1210 matches the Rfam family "Eukaryotic large subunit ribosomal RNA", at positions 1 to 601 of the family's 3401-position model. Lineage: Eukaryota; Fungi; Basidiomycota; Agaricomycetes; Agaricales; Cortinariaceae. The record is from RNAcentral.